This 422-nucleotide long non-coding RNA is filed under the name Monodelphis domestica (gray short-tailed opossum). RNAcentral describes it as "lncRNA (ENSMODG00000034431.2)". Lineage: Eukaryota; Metazoa; Chordata; Mammalia; Didelphimorphia; Didelphidae. The record is from RNAcentral.
AACAGUUUUUCAACUGUGAGUCUGAAGCUGGAGGUCAAGACUGAAGGUGUGACUCUGGGACUCUCCCUGGACAAACCCAUCUUUCAAGCUGCCUGCCUUAGAAUAACAUCAAGACAAGGUUGGGAAGAAAUUCUCCAUUCAUUCUGGUGGACAGAGUGAUUUUGGAAAAGAAUUUCUCAUUCCAAGAGUUUCUACGGACUCUUCAACUGGAUUUCUGCUGCUUGACCCACCAAGGACUCUGUGAAUAUUGUUCAGGAGUGUUGGACUUCCCUUCCCUACCUGAAAAGCUAUCAGAAGCAGCUUCAGAUAAUUUGACUAAUAUCCAUUCACUUGUGCUCAAAGGAAUUUGGAUUAUAAGGAACUUCCAAAGAAAAAAUGUUUCAAGGCAUCUAAUUAUGAUGGGAGAAGAUUCAUUCAAAUGA